RNAcentral lists this long non-coding RNA (338 nucleotides) under Trifolium pratense (red clover). RNAcentral describes it as "long non-coding RNA (TPRA_LNC013731)". Lineage: Eukaryota; Viridiplantae; Streptophyta; Magnoliopsida; Fabales; Fabaceae. The record is from RNAcentral.
UUCAAUAUAAUUUCUUUGACCUUUUUUUUUCUUCAUUAGCAAUGUGGGACUUACAUUGCGAUCAAUCCCAACAAUUUUGUCAAGGGGGGUACCAUAAGAUCAAGACUUCAUUUAUGCUAAUCAAUCCUUUUACCAGAAUAAAGAAGAUAAUCAAUGCAGCACCCUCCUUUGAAACUUCCACUAUUCUUUAUUCCAUGCGUGUAUUGCUUGCUUUUAGCAAAUGCUCUAAGGAAUUUGUUUUUGUGGUUUUAUGCACACAAACCAACUAUUUGCGUGUCUAUCAAUCUCGAAACUGUGGUUGGGUUACUUUUUCUUCGAAGAUUGGAAAUCAAGAGUGG